This 253-nucleotide ribosomal RNA is filed under the name uncultured bacterium. RNAcentral describes it as "partial 16S ribosomal RNA". It matches the Rfam family "Bacterial small subunit ribosomal RNA", at positions 524 to 776 of the family's 1533-position model. The record is from RNAcentral.
UACGAAGGGGGCUAGCGUUGCUCGGAAUCACUGGGCGUAAAGCGCACGUAGGCGGCUUUCUAAGUCAGGGGUGAAAUCCUGGAGCUCAACUCCAGAACUGCCUUUGAUACUGGAGAGCUUGAGUCCGGAAGAGGUGAGUGGAACUCCGAGUGUAGAGGUGAAAUUCGUAGAUAUUCGGAAGAACACCAGUGGCGAAGGCGGCUCACUGGCCCGGUACUGACGCUGAGGUGCGAAAGCGUGGGGAGCGAACAGG